UGAGUACGAGAUGCUACGGCAUCGAAGCAGUCUAUGUCAUACUUCCAGGAAAAGCUUGCAAUGUCAUAAACAAAUAAUGCCUGUACCAUAACCGACACAGGUGGGUAGGUAGAGUAUACUAAGGGGCGCGAGAUAACUCUCUCUAAGGAACUCGGCAAAAUGACUCCGUAACUUCGGGAGAAGGAGUGCCUUAUUUUUAUAAGGUUGCAAUAACAAGAUCCAAGCAACUGUUUACCAAAAACACAGGUCUCCGCUAAGUCGUAAGACGAUGUAUGGGGGCUGACGCCUGCCCAGUGCCAGAAGGUUAAAGAAGUUGGUUAGCAUUAGCGAAGCUGAUAACUGAAGCCCUGGUGAACGGCGGCCGUAACGAUAACGGUCCUAAGGUAGCGAAAUUCCUUGUCGGGUAAGUUCCGACCCGCACGAAAGGCGUAAUGAUUUGGAUACUGUCUCGGAGAGGGGCUCGGUGAAAUAGACUUGUCUGUGAAGAUGCGGACUACCUGCACCUGGACAGAAAGACCCUAUGAAGCUUUACUGUAACUUGAGAUUGAAAUUGGACUUUAUCUGCGCAGUAUAGGUGGGAGACGUUGAAAAUAUUCUUGCGGGAAUAUUGGAGUCAUCAGUGAGAUACCACUCUUAUAAUGUUAGAUUUCUAACUUUGUAUCAUUAUCUGGUCAAAGAACAGUUUCAGGCGGGCAGUUUGACUGGGGCGGUCGCCUCCCAAACGGUAACGGAGGCGCACAAAGGUUUCCUCUGAACGUGUAGAAAUCGUAUCUAGAGUGUAAAGGCAUAAGGAAGCUUGACUGUGAGACCUACAAGUCGAGCAGGGACGAAAGUCGGUCUUAGUGAUCUGACGGUGCUGAGUGGAAAGGCCGUCACUCAACGGAUAAAAGUUACUCUAGGAUAACAGGCUGAUCUCCCCCAAGAGUUCACAUCGACGGGGAGGUUUGGCACCUCGAUGUCGGCUCAUCGCAUCCUGGGGCGGUAGUACGUCCCAAGGGUUGGGCUGUUCGCCCAUGAAAGCGGUACGCGAGCUGGGUUCAGAACGUCGUGAGACAGUUCGGUCCAUAUCCGGUGUAGGCGUUAGAAUAUUGAGAGGAGCCUUCUUUAGUACGAGAGGACCGAGAAGGACAUACCUCUGGUGUACCAGUUAUCGUGCCAACGGUAAACGCUGGGUAGCCAUGUAUGGAGAGGAUAACCGCUGAAAGCAUCUAAGUGGGAAGCCCACCUCAAGAUAAG
Molecule: ribosomal RNA, 1236 nt
Filed under: metagenome
Description: bacterial LSU rRNA
Rfam family: Bacterial large subunit ribosomal RNA
Source: RNAcentral